This 90-nucleotide ribosomal RNA is filed under the name Salmonella enterica subsp. enterica serovar Javiana. RNAcentral describes it as "partial 23S ribosomal RNA". The stretch from base 1 to 78 matches the Rfam family "Bacterial large subunit ribosomal RNA", at positions 2848 to 2925 of the family's 2925-position model. The record is from RNAcentral. Lineage: Bacteria; Pseudomonadati; Pseudomonadota; Gammaproteobacteria; Enterobacterales; Enterobacteriaceae.
AGGAGUUGAUAGGCCGGGUGUGUAAGCGCAGCGAUGCGUUGAGCUAACCGGUACUAAUGAACCGUGAGGCUUAACCUUACAACGCCGAAG